Molecule: ribosomal RNA, 438 nt
Filed under: uncultured bacterium
Lineage: Bacteria
Description: bacterial SSU rRNA
Rfam family: Bacterial small subunit ribosomal RNA
Source: RNAcentral
CAGUGGGGAAUUUUGGACAAUGGGCGCAAGCCUGAUCCAGCCAUUCCGCGUGCAGGAUGAAGGCCCUCGGGUUGUAAACUGCUUUUGUACGGAACGAAACGGCCUGGGUUAAUACCUCGGGCUAAUGACGGUACCGUAAGAAUAAGCACCGGCUAACUACGUGCCAGCAGCCGCGGUAAUACGUAGGGUGCAAGCGUUAAUCGGAAUUACUGGGCGUAAAGCGUGCGCAGGCGGUGAUGUAAGACAGGUGUGAAAUCCCCGGGCUUAACCUGGGAACUGCAUUUGUGACUGCAUUGCUGGAGUGCGGCAGAGGGGGAUGGAAUUCCGCGUGUAGCAGUGAAAUGCGUAGAUAUGCGGAGGAACACCGAUGGCGAAGGCAAUCCCCUGGGCCUGCACUGACGCUCAUGCACGAAAGCGUGGGGAGCAAACAGGAUUAGA